Molecule: ribosomal RNA, 337 nt
Filed under: Bacillus subtilis
Lineage: Bacteria; Bacillati; Bacillota; Bacilli; Caryophanales; Bacillaceae
Description: bacterial SSU rRNA
Rfam family: Bacterial small subunit ribosomal RNA
Source: RNAcentral
GACUGGGAUAACUCCGGGAAACCGGGGCUAAUACCGGAUGGUUGUUUGAACCGCAUGGUUCAAACAUAAAAGGUGGCUUCGGCUACCACUUACAGAUGGACCCGCGGCGCAUUAGCUAGUUGGUGAGGUAACGGCUCACCAAGGCAACGAUGCGUAGCCGACCUGAGAGGGUGAUCGGCCACACUGGGACUGAGACACGGCCCAGACUCCUACGGGAGGCAGCAGUAGGGAAUCUUCCGCAAUGGACGAAAGUCUGACGGAGUAACGCCGCGUGAGUGAUGAAGGUUUUCGGAUCGUAAAGCUCUGUUGUUAGGGAAGAACAAGUACCGUUCGAAUA